AGUGAACGCUGGCGGUAGGCCUAACACAUGCAAGUCGAACGGCAGCACAGUAAGAGCUUGCUCUUACGGGUGGCGAGUGGCGGACGGGUGAGGAAUACAUCGGAAUCUACUUUUUCGUGGGGGAUAACGUAGGGAAACUUACGCUAAUACCGCAUACGACCUACGGGUGAGAGCAGGGGAUAUUCGGACCUUGCGCGAUUGAAUGAGCCGCUGUCGGAUUAGCUAGUUGGCGGGGUAAAGGCCCACCAAGGCGACGAUCCGUAGCUGGUCUGAGAGGAUGAUCAGCCACACUGGAACUGAGACACGGUCCAGACUCCUACGGGAGGCAGCAGUGGGGAAUAUUGGACAAUGGGCGCAAGCCUGAUCCAGCCAUACCGCGUGGGUGAAGAAGGCCUUCGGGUUGUAAAGCCCUUUUGUUGGGAAAGAAAAGCAGCAGGUUAAUACCCCGCUGUUCUGACGGUACCCAAAGAAUAAGCACCGGCUAACUUCGUG
RNAcentral lists this ribosomal RNA (492 nucleotides) under uncultured bacterium. RNAcentral describes it as "partial 16S ribosomal RNA". It matches the Rfam family "Bacterial small subunit ribosomal RNA", at positions 29 to 507 of the family's 1533-position model. The record is from RNAcentral.